CCUACGGGAGGCAGCAGUGGGGAAUUUUGGACAAUGGACGCAAGUCUGAUCCAGCCAUGCCGCGUGUGGGAAGAAGGCCUUCGGGUUGUAAACCACUUUUGUCAGGGAAGAAACGGCUCACUCUAAUACAGAGGGCUAAUGACGGUACCUGAAGAAUAAGCACCGGCUAACUACGUGCCAGCAGCCGCGGUAAUACGUAGGGUGCAAGCGUUAAUCGGAAUUACUGGGCGUAAAGCGUGCGCAGGCGGUUAUGCAAGACAGAUGUGAAAUCCCCGGGCUCAACCUGGGAACUGCAUUUGUGACUGCAUGGCUAGAGUACGGUAGAGGGGGAUGGAAUUCCGCGUGUAGCAGUGAAAUGCGUAGAUAUGCGGAGGAACACCGAUGGCGAAGGCAAUCCCCUGGACCUGUACUGACGCUCAUGCACGAAAGCGUGGGGAGCAAACAGGAUUAGAUACCCUGGUAGUCCACGCCCUAAACGAUGUCAACUGGUUGUUGGGAGGGUUUCUUCUCAGUAACGUAGCUAACGCGUGAAGUUGACCGCCUGGGGNGUACGGCGCGAGUAGAACGACGAAGUAGAGUAGAGGCGUGAGACGUAGACGACGGACGACGACGAGGGGAGGAGG
This 623-nucleotide ribosomal RNA is filed under the name uncultured bacterium. Its description in RNAcentral is "bacterial SSU rRNA". The stretch from base 1 to 542 matches the Rfam family "Bacterial small subunit ribosomal RNA", at positions 338 to 873 of the family's 1533-position model. The record is from RNAcentral.